This 114-nucleotide Y RNA is filed under the name Propithecus coquereli (Coquerel's sifaka). RNAcentral's name for it is "Y RNA (ENSPCOG00000007846.1)". It matches the Rfam family "Y RNA". Rfam says of the family: Y RNAs are components of the Ro ribonucleoprotein particle (Ro RNP), in association with Ro60 and La proteins. The Y RNAs and Ro60 and La proteins are well conserved, but the function of the Ro RNP is not known. Lineage: Eukaryota; Metazoa; Chordata; Mammalia; Primates; Indriidae. The record is from Rfam by way of RNAcentral.
GGCUGGUCCAAAGGUAGUGAAUUAUCUCACUUGAUUGUUCACAGUCAGUUACAAAUUGAACUCCUUGUUCUACUACUUUCCCCCGUCCUCACUACUGCACUUGACUAGUCUAAU